This 467-nucleotide ribosomal RNA is filed under the name uncultured bacterium. RNAcentral's name for it is "SSU rRNA". It matches the Rfam family "Bacterial small subunit ribosomal RNA", at positions 26 to 523 of the family's 1533-position model. The record is from RNAcentral.
AGCCUGAACGCUGGCGGCGUGGCUAAGACAUGCAAGUCGUACGGGUGUAGCAAUACACCAGUGGCGGACGGGUGAGUAAUGUAUCGCUAACGUACCCCGGAUUCUGGGAUAGCUGCCCGAAAGGGCAGGUAAUACCGAAUGAUAUAUCCUUUUCGCAUGAUGAGGAUCUCAAAGGGAAACCGUUCUGGGAGCGGGCGAUAUCGUAUCAGCUAGUUGGUGAGGUAACGGCUCACCAAGGCGACGACGCGUAGCCGGACUGAGAGGUUGGCCGGCCACAUUGGGACUGAGACACUGCCCAGACUCCUACGGGGGGCUGCAGUAACGAAUCUUCCGCAAUGCACGCAAGUGUGACGGAGCGACGCCGCGUGUGGACGAAGUCCUUCGGGAUGUAACCACUGUCAGGGGUUAGAAGUUCUGAUCAACCCCAGAGGAAGGCACGGCUAACUCUGUGCCAGCAGCCGCGGUAA